GGCUGAGCAGUUGUAUUUCACUAUGAUGCAUUUAAAUGUGUGAUCUGUUAGCUCGUAUAGAUAUUCUGUUGUCAAUUUCAUAUAAGGCGUUUCAGCGCCAAUAUGAUUAAAACCGAGACUAUGAUACUUUGCACUAAGGUAAACGACAAUGGACCUGACUGGUGUCUGGAUUCGUAGAUAUGGCGUCGGAGAUGUGAGGCUGGCUUGGAAGGAUGCCUCUGGAUGUAUGGACGUUAGCCGCGAAGCGACCCAGAAGGCACAUUUGUCGCAACGACUGUUACUCUCGAGAUCGUGUGGGCUAUCCACUCAGCUCACUCGGUCCAAUAAACGGUCCGUUAAGA
This is a long non-coding RNA of Amphibalanus amphitrite, 341 nucleotides long. RefSeq lists it as uncharacterized. The transcript is spliced from 2 exons. The record is from RefSeq and is a predicted model, not a curated record. NCBI's taxonomy places the organism in Eukaryota, Metazoa, Arthropoda, Thecostraca, Balanomorpha, Balanidae.